GGGGAGUUAGCUCAGAUGGUAGAGCACUUGCUUUGCAUGCAAGAGGUGGUGGGAUCGAUGCCCACAUUCUCCA
RNAcentral lists this transfer RNA (73 nucleotides) under Ophiophagus hannah (king cobra). It matches the Rfam family "tRNA". From Rfam's summary of the family: Transfer RNA (tRNA) molecules are approximately 80 nucleotides in length. Their secondary structure includes four short double-helical elements and three loops (D, anti-codon, and T loops). Lineage: Eukaryota; Metazoa; Chordata; Lepidosauria; Squamata; Elapidae. The record is from Rfam by way of RNAcentral.